Molecule: transfer RNA, 74 nt
Filed under: Lusitaniella coriacea LEGE 07167
Lineage: Bacteria; Bacillati; Cyanobacteriota; Cyanophyceae; Spirulinales; Lusitaniellaceae
Also listed under: 1 other name
Description: tRNA-Leu
Rfam family: tRNA
About the family: Transfer RNA (tRNA) molecules are approximately 80 nucleotides in length.
Source: RNAcentral
GCUCCUGUAGCCCAAUUGGAAGAGGCGGCUGACUCAAAAUCAGCAGGUUGUGAGUUCGAGUCUCACCAGGAGUA